Molecule: ribosomal RNA, 794 nt
Filed under: Vibrio parahaemolyticus
Lineage: Bacteria; Pseudomonadati; Pseudomonadota; Gammaproteobacteria; Vibrionales; Vibrionaceae
Description: partial 23S ribosomal RNA
Rfam family: Bacterial large subunit ribosomal RNA
Source: RNAcentral
AUACCGAAGAAUGUUAUCACGGGAGACACACGGCGGGUGCUAACGUUCGUCGUGAAGAGGGAAACAACCCAGACCGCCAGCUAAGGUCCCAAAGUCAUAGUUAAGUGGGAAACGAAGUGGGAAGGCUCAGACAGCCAGGAUGUUGGCUUAGAAGCAGCCAUCAUUUAAAGAAAGCGUAAUAGCUCACUGGUCGAGUCGGCCUGCGCGGAAGAUGUAACGGGGCUAAACUAUGCACCGAAGCUGCGGCAGCGAUAUGUAAAUAUUGUUGGGUAGGGGAGCGUUCUGUAAGCCUGUGAAGGUGUACUGUGAGGUAUGCUGGAGGUAUCAGAAGUGCGAAUGCUGACAUAAGUAACGAUAAUGCGGGUGAAAAACCCGCACGCCGGAAGACCAAGGGUUCCUGUCCAACGUUAAUCGGGGCAGGGUGAGUCGACCCCUAAGGCGAGGCAGAAAUGCGUAGUCGAUGGGAAACGGGUUAAUAUUCCCGUACUGGUGAUAAUUGCGAUGGGGGGACGGAGAAGGCUAGGCUGGCCGGGCGACGGUUGUCCCGGUUUAAGGAUGUAGGCAGGUGAAUUAGGCAAAUCCGGUUCACUACAUGCUGAGGUCUGAUGACGAGUCACUACGGUGGCGAAGUAGCUCAUGCCCCGCUUCCAGGAAAAGCCUCUAAGCUCUAGAUUAUCACUAAUCGUACCCCAAACCGACACAGGUGGUCAGGUAGAGAAUACUCAGGCGCUUGAGAGAACUCGGGUGAAGGAACUAGGCAAAAUGGUGCCGUAACUUCGGGAGAAGGCACGCUG